UGGACGAAAGUCUGACCGAGCAACGCCGCGUGAGUGAAGAAGGUUUUCGGAUCGUAAAGCUCUGUUGUAAGUCAAGAACGUGUGUGAGAGUGGAAAGUUCACACAGUGACGGUAGCUUACCAGAAAGGGACGGCUAACUACGUGCCAGCAGCCGCGGUAAUACGUAGGUCCCGAGCGUUGUCCGGAUUUAUUGGGCGUAAAGGGAGCGCAGGCGGUCAGGAAAGUCUGGAGUAAAAGGCUAUGGCUCAACCAUAGUGUGCUCUGGAAACUGUCUGACUUGAGUGCAAAAGGGGAGAGUGGAAUUCCAUGCGUAGCGGUGAAAUGCGUAGGAUAUAUGGAGGAACACCAGUGGCGAAAGCGGCUCUCUGGUCUGUCACUGACGCUGAGGCUCGAAAGCGUGGGUAGCGAACAGGAUUAGAUACCCUGGUAGUCCACGCCGUAAACGAUGAGUGCUAGGUGUUAGGCCCUUUCCGGGGCUUAGUGCCGGAGCUAACGCAAUAAGCACUCCGCCUGGGGAGUACGACCGCAAGGUUGAAACUCAAAGGAAUUGACGGGGGCCCGCACAAGCGGUGGAGCAUGUGGUUUAAUUCGAAGCAACGCGAAGAACCUUACCAGGUCUUG
RNAcentral lists this ribosomal RNA (621 nucleotides) under Streptococcus mutans. RNAcentral describes it as "bacterial SSU rRNA". It matches the Rfam family "Bacterial small subunit ribosomal RNA", at positions 372 to 983 of the family's 1533-position model. The record is from RNAcentral. Lineage: Bacteria; Bacillati; Bacillota; Bacilli; Lactobacillales; Streptococcaceae.